GUCUCCGUAACUUCAAAAAUAAGAGACUCUCUGUCAUCUCUGAAGACCCCGACCGACAAGCCACCGAUCCAAUUCCGGCAAAACUCCAGAUUCAACUACUAAUUAAACCACAGAUCCCUCUUCUCCUCAAUCUAUUCUACAAAACUUUACCUUUUUAGUUUGUCUUACCCAAACGAACCCCACAUUCUCCAGAACUUUGAGAAGCAAUCUGAUUCUGCGCCGUUCAAUCUUCUCAAUUCGCCGACGCCGAUUCGUACAUCACGAACUCAGCCCACCUUUGUCAAACUACUGACGCUCCCUUGAGCCGUUGCCUCUCCUUCGGAGACACCCACAAACUCCCCACCGACAACAACACCGACCCCCUGUUACGACGGAUCCUUUACUUGCGACGGAGAACUCAAGCUUUGUAGUAAGGUUUCUUGUAGUUUGCUGAUCGUUUCCAGGUAAUUGGUGUAGUAGGUUGUGCAUAAAACAACCUCUCAAGCCCGUAAACUAGCAGGCAUUCCAUCACAACCGAGGCCGCCCCGAAGUAUCCACCAAUAAGUAGGGUGGGCCGGGCCCGACCUCGGUGGCAGUAUUGGGCUGGGAGUGGUUUUAGAAGGCAUAAGGGAGCUGGGUGUGAAAUAGCAGCAAAGACAGUUGCCCCACAUCGGUUUUCAGGUGAAGAGAAUCCACUCUAGGCCAUAAAUAUGGCCCAGCCACCAACUUGUCAGGUAUAAUAACUACCUUCAGUAAUUACAUUCUACCACAAGAUACUGACUUAAGCUUCGGAGAAGAAAAGACCGGAAGCCCCCGGUCACCCUUGUUAUUGCAGGGCAGUGGGAGGAUAGCUGACCAUCCACCAGGGCACAUCAUCAGCUUCUGCGAACCCAUCCGAGAUUGUACAUAAACAAUUGGAAAGCCAACUCUCUUUCUAGAGGAGGAAAACUUGUUCUGAA
Molecule: RNA transcript, 938 nt
Organism: Fragaria vesca subsp. vesca
Lineage: Eukaryota; Viridiplantae; Streptophyta; Magnoliopsida; Rosales; Rosaceae
Exons: 2
Source: RefSeq, a predicted model, not a curated record